Molecule: ribosomal RNA, 473 nt
Filed under: uncultured bacterium
Lineage: Bacteria
Description: bacterial SSU rRNA
Rfam family: Bacterial small subunit ribosomal RNA
Source: RNAcentral
GCAGAGCAUCCUACGGGAGGCAGCAGUGGGGAAUAUUGCACAAUGGGCGCAAGCCUGAUGCAGCCAUGCCGCGUGUAUUGAAGAAGGCCUUCGGGUUGUAAAGUAUUCAGCAGUGAGGAAGGUGGGUAUGUUAAUAGCAUACUCAUUUGACGUUAGCUGCAGAAGAAGCACCGGCUAACUCCGUGCCAGCAGCCGCGGUAAUACGGAGGGUGCGAGCGUUAAUCGGAAUUACUGGGCGUAAAGCGCAUGCAGGUGGUUUGUUAAGUCAGAUGUGAAAGCCCGGGGCUCAACCUCGGAAUUGCAUUUGAAAACUGGCAAACUAGAGUACUGUAGAGGGGGUAGAAUUUCAGGUGUAGCGGUGAAAUGCGUAGAGAUCUGAAGGAAUACCGGUGGCGAAGGCGGCCCCCUGGACAGAUACUGACACUCAGAUGCGAAAAGCGUGGGGAGCAAAACAGGAUUAGAUACCCUGGUAG